AUCCCAUGAUGAGGACAAGCUAAGAUAUAGUCCUGGAGACGUUCCUAUGCUUCUGUGACUGAUUCAUCAUGAUUCUACUAGAAACUUGAGAUACGGUUCUGAAGAG
This 106-nucleotide small nucleolar RNA is filed under the name Dichanthelium oligosanthes. RNAcentral describes it as "Plant small nucleolar RNA R71". It matches the Rfam family "Plant small nucleolar RNA R71". From Rfam's summary of the family: R71 is a member of the C/D box family of snoRNAs containing the C (UGAUGA) and D (CUGA) box motifs. Multiple nearly identical copies of this snoRNA have been identified in Arabidopsis, and it is thought to function as a 2'-O-ribose methylation guide for 18S ribosomal RNA. Lineage: Eukaryota; Viridiplantae; Streptophyta; Magnoliopsida; Poales; Poaceae. The record is from Rfam by way of RNAcentral.